GCUGGCUCUGAAACCUGAAAACUCUUGACGAUGAGGAAUUAAGCCCGAACUGGAGAAGCACCUCACGGAGGUAGCUGAGGUACGGAUGCAUUCACCCAUUUUACAGAUGGGAAAAGCCAGAGACCGUGUGCAGCAAGCCUACAGAAAAAAUUGCUAAGCCUUUACAGAGCAGCCCUGCUUGGACUACAGAUGCUGGCGUUGGCGGUUCCUUAUAGUACAGGCAGCCACCUGUCUCCCCCAGUCCCUAAUCUCUUCCCCGAGCUGAAUUUCUCACACCCAUACAUUUCGAAUUCAGACAUUUGUUUCUGCAGAUCUCGGAUGCUAGCACUUGACACUGUGAGCGCACGCGCGGGCACACACGCACACAGUCUCCUAGGGAGUGUGAGGAACGUCGGGUUACUUCCGUUGUUGGGGAACUUUUACUGUGCAAGUACGGUUUUAAAAACAAGCAAACAAAUUAGCAUAGUAAAUAAUUGGUCUUCAAGUAGCAAAGUUACAAAAUAAACAAAUACAAAGAGAAACCCACGUUAUUGCCCCUAGUUCUGAGAUAUGUCUCCCUCUGCGGUCUCCGCUAGAAGCCCAGCCCGCUCUCGCCUUCGCCCCAGUCUCGUGCCUUCUGGAGCAUUAUUUUUCAAUCCGCGUGUUUCCCAGCUGGCUCUGCAGCCAUCCGUUAAAUAUGUAUUUAAAACAUGAAGAACUGAAGCGUGGUGUUAUGUCGUCCAACGGUUACAAGGAUGACCCAUAACCGUUCAAUUAGUAGAAUCUGUCACUCGGACGACGCAGGGAGCGGGGGGGUGGGGAUCAGAAAGGGCUCGGGCAUUUGUAGAUGCCUCCUUCGGGCCUACCCCGCCAACAGCAGCGAGGCCAUGUGUGGUGCGCGCUGUGGGGCCACCAGUCGGGGCGCGGAGUUGUGCGCCUGCCAGUGUAGCUAAUAAACACCAGCAGGCGCAACGUGCGCGCUCCUUGGUUGCAGCCGCUGAGGCUGCGUCUCGGCCUGGCUGCCAAACAGAACGACGUUCUUGCGCAGAGCUGACCAGGGGUGGCGGCGGGAGGCAAGGCUCCCGGCACCGGAAAGCAAAGCAAAGAAAAAGGCAUUGCAGCCAUCGCUCCUGGUCGUGAAUGACAGCGUUUGGCUACCAAACAUGUGCUACAUGACCCCUCAGAAGUCAGAACUCUGCAAACAAAUGGCGUGUCUUUCUCACAAAACAGCUCAUGGAGUCGUCCAGGGUCAGCACGGCUGGUCAGAACCGCGGCUCCCGGGACUGGUCCAGGACAGUUCACGCCGGGUGCGGAGGACAGGCCCUGGCACUUGGCAGGUGCUUGGUAAAUACUGCCGAAUGCACACACGUGCAGAUGUGCAUGCGGACUGAUGUGAAACAUGGUCCGUAAAAUACAUGUAAAUGUGGGCAAAGGUGUGUUAUGUGUUUUUUCGCUGUAUAUAAUAAACUGUGAGAGCUGUAAUCUGGAUCUUGGGGUAUAUGGGCACCUUUACAAUGAUUGGGGUGUUGACUUCCACCUAAUGACAACUGUGACCACUUGAAGGCAACCUAAAUUGUGCCAGGAGUUUCAGGUGUCUUGACAGACAUA
RNAcentral lists this long non-coding RNA (1587 nucleotides) under Homo sapiens (human). RNAcentral's name for it is "HSALNT0272838". The record is from RNAcentral. Lineage: Eukaryota; Metazoa; Chordata; Mammalia; Primates; Hominidae.